GCAGUCGAGGGGUAGAGGAGCUUGCCUCCUUGAGACCGGCGCACGGGUGCGUAACGCGUAUGCAAUCUACCUUGUACAGAGGGAUAGCCCAGAGAAAUUUGGAUUAAUACCUCAUAGUAUUAUUGAAUGGCAUCAUUUAAUAAUUAAAGUUCCAACGGUACAAGAUGAGCAUGCGUCCUAUUAGCUAGUUGGUGUGGUAACGGCAUACCAAGGCUACGAUAGGUAGGGGCCCUGAGAGGGAGAUCCCCCACACUGGUACUGAGACACGGACCAGACUCCUACGGGAGGCAGCAGUGAGGAAUAUUGGACAAUGGGCGCAAGCCUGAUCCAGCCAUGCCGCGUGCAGGAAGACGCAUCUAUGGUGUGUAAACUGCUUUUGUACGGGAAGAAACACUCCCUCGUGAGGGAGCUUGACGGUUACCGUAAGAAUAAGGAUCGGCUAACUCCGUGCCAGCAGCCGCGGUAAUACGGAGGAUCCAAGCGUUAUCCGGAAUCAUUGGGUUUAAAGGGUCCGUAGGCCGGUUUAAUAAGUCAGUGGUGAAAGCCCAUCGCUCAACGAUGGGAACGGCCAUUGAUACUGUUAGACUUGAAUUACAAGGAAGUAACUAGAAUAUGUAGUGUAGCGGUGAAAUGCUUAGAUAUUACAUGGAAUACCAAUUGCGAAGGCAGGUUACUACUUGUGGAUUGACGCUGAUGGACGAAAGCGUGGGGAGCGAACAGGAUUAGAUACCCUGGUAGUCCACGCCGUAAACGAUGGAUACUAGCUGUUGGGAGCAAUUUCAGUGGCUAAGCGAAAGUGAUAAGUAUCCCACCUGGGGAAGUACGUUCGCAAGAAUGAAACUCAAAGGAAUUGACGGGGGCCCCGCACAAGCGGUGGAGCAUGUGGUUUAAUUCGAUGAUACGCGAGGAACCUUACCAAGGCCUUAAAUGGGAAACGACAAAUUUGGAAACAGAUUUUUCUUCGGACGUUUUUCAAGGUGCUGCAUGGUCGUCGUCAGCUCGUGCCGUGAGGUGUCAGGUUAAGUCCUAUAACGAGCGCAACCCCUGUUGUUAGUUGCCAGCGAGUCAAGUCGGGAACUCUAGCAAGACUGCCAGUGUAAACUGUGAGGAAGGUGGGGAUGACGUCAAAUCAUCACGGCCCUUACGCUUUGGGCUACACACGUGCUACAAUGGACGGUACAGAGAGCAGCCACUACGUGAGUAGGAGCGAAUCUA
RNAcentral lists this ribosomal RNA (1215 nucleotides) under uncultured bacterium. Its description in RNAcentral is "bacterial SSU rRNA". It matches the Rfam family "Bacterial small subunit ribosomal RNA", at positions 57 to 1275 of the family's 1533-position model. The record is from RNAcentral.